UCCCUGGUGGUCAGGUGGUUAAGAAUCUGUGCUUCCAAUGCAGGGGAUGCGGGUUCAAUCCCUGGUCAGGGAA
This 73-nucleotide transfer RNA is filed under the name Ovis aries (sheep). It matches the Rfam family "tRNA". From Rfam's summary of the family: Transfer RNA (tRNA) molecules are approximately 80 nucleotides in length. Lineage: Eukaryota; Metazoa; Chordata; Mammalia; Artiodactyla; Bovidae. The record is from Rfam by way of RNAcentral.